Molecule: unclassified non-coding RNA, 231 nt
Filed under: fungal sp.
Lineage: Eukaryota; Fungi
Description: partial internal transcribed spacer region
Rfam family: Eukaryotic small subunit ribosomal RNA (bases 1-46)
Source: RNAcentral
AAGUCGUAACAAGGUUUCCGUAGGUGAACCUGCGGAAGGAUCAUUAACACUUUUUAUUAUUUUGUUUUUUUUCUAAAACAAAAUUUAAAACCCCACAAUUUUGGAUGAAUUUAAUUAAUUUAUUUUUUAUUUUAUUUUUUUUUAUUAUAACCCUAUUAUUUUGACUAACAUUUUUAUUUAAUUAUUAAAAAAUUAAAAAAACAACUCUUAACAACGGAUAUCUUGGCUCUC